GACGAACGCUGGCGGCGUGCUUAACACAUGCAAGUCGAACGCUGAAGCCCUUCGGGGUGGAUGAGUGGCGAACGGGUGAGUAACACGUGGGUAAUCUGCCCUGCACUCUGGGAUAAGCCUUGGAAACGGGGUCUAAUACCGGAUAGGACACAUCGCCGCAUGGUGUGUGUGUGGAAAGUUCCGGCGGUGCAGGUUGAGCCCGCGGCCUAUCAGCUUGUUGGUGGGGUGAUGGCCUACCAAGGCGACGACGGGUAGCCGGCCUGAGAGGGUGAACGGCCACACUGGGACUGAGACACGGCCCGGACUCCUACGGGAGGCAGCAGUGGGGAAUCUUGCGCAAGGGGCGAGAGCCUGACGCAGCAACGCCGCGUGGGGGAUGACGGCCUUCGGGUUGUAAACCUCUUUCGACCGGGACGAAGGAUUCGUUUGACGGUACCGGUAGAAGAAGCACCGGCUAACUACGUGCCAGCAGCCGCCGUAA
Molecule: ribosomal RNA, 481 nt
Filed under: uncultured bacterium
Lineage: Bacteria
Description: partial 16S ribosomal RNA
Rfam family: Bacterial small subunit ribosomal RNA
Source: RNAcentral